RNAcentral lists this ribosomal RNA (388 nucleotides) under Strophurus taeniatus (phasmid striped gecko). Its description in RNAcentral is "partial 16S ribosomal RNA". It matches the Rfam family "Bacterial large subunit ribosomal RNA", at positions 1967 to 2564 of the family's 2925-position model. Lineage: Eukaryota; Metazoa; Chordata; Lepidosauria; Squamata; Diplodactylidae. The record is from RNAcentral.
AUUUGUCCCCUAAAUAGGGACUAGUAUGAAUGGCUAACUGAGGUUCUAACUGUCUCAUUAGACCAAUCAAUGAAACUGAUCUUUCAGUACAAAAGCUGAAAUAUACCCAUAAGACGAGAAGACCCUGUGGAGCUUAAAACUCAUAUUAUAAACCACAUAACUACACUUUUUAGUUGGGGCGACUUUGGAACAAAACAGAACUUCCAUGCCAGGACCCUACCAAGGCCCACACGCCAAAUUACACCAUUAUUGACCCAGCCCAUCAAAGGCUGAGCAACGAACCAAGUUACCCCAGGGAUAACAGCGCCAUCCUCUUCAAGAGUUCAUAUCGACAAGGGGGUUUACGACCUCGAUGUUGGAUCAGGACACCCCGGUGGUGCAACCGCUA